Molecule: unclassified non-coding RNA, 390 nt
Filed under: Hevea brasiliensis (rubber tree)
Lineage: Eukaryota; Viridiplantae; Streptophyta; Magnoliopsida; Malpighiales; Euphorbiaceae
Source: RNAcentral
GCAAAGGGUGUGAUUCUCAUUUCUCUCCCAUGGAUUAAUUACUCGUUUCAUGUUAAUAGCCCGCUCGUCUAUUGUGCCAGGUACAGCUACAUUGAUCAGCUUACAUAAAAGAACUCCAUCCUUUGCCAAAUCAAACAAAGCAUUUGAAGCUGGAUCUAUUGGAAGAAAUUGCUUUAAGAAUGGAUCAUCUCUUAAAUAGCUGUUUAUAUGAGCAACAUAAGAUGAUUUCUCUGAUUCACUGAUCGUGUGAAGGAGUGUAGUUGUGGAAGCCUUCAGGAAGGACGACGAACUUUUAGAACUGCCUACUUUUGGGGCAGCUCGAGCUUGUAGAUUCAAGUAUGUUUUAAGGAAGCUUUCGAAAUCAAUCUCAUCAUUCACAUCUGAACCUGA